RNAcentral lists this ribosomal RNA (193 nucleotides) under Vibrio splendidus. RNAcentral describes it as "partial 16S ribosomal RNA". It matches the Rfam family "Bacterial small subunit ribosomal RNA", at positions 1 to 177 of the family's 1533-position model. Lineage: Bacteria; Pseudomonadati; Pseudomonadota; Gammaproteobacteria; Vibrionales; Vibrionaceae. The record is from RNAcentral.
AAAUUGAAGAGUUUGAUCAUGGCUCAGAUUGAACGCUGGCGGCAGGCCUAACACAUGCAAGUCGAGCGGAAACGACACUAACAAUCCUUCGGGUGCGUUAAUGGGCGUCGAGCGGCGGACGGGUGAGUAAUGCCUAGGAAAUUGCCUUGAUGUGGGGGAUAACCAUUGGAAACGAUGGCUAAUACCGCAUAAU